RNAcentral lists this ribosomal RNA (350 nucleotides) under uncultured bacterium. RNAcentral's name for it is "bacterial SSU rRNA". It matches the Rfam family "Bacterial small subunit ribosomal RNA", at positions 1 to 342 of the family's 1533-position model. The record is from RNAcentral.
UAGCGUUUGAUCCUGGUUCAGAGCGAACGUUAGCGGCGGGCCUAACACAUGCAAGUCGAGCGAGAAAAGGGCUUCGGCCCUGAGUAAAGCGGCGGACGGGUGAGUACUACGUAGGUAACCUUCCUUCGAGCGGGGGACAACGGUCCGAAAGGACCGCUAAUACCGCAUACGUUCCCGAGGACUCCGGUCCUCGGGAGGAAAGCUAGGGUAGCAAUACUCCGGCACUCCAAGCGGGGCCUACGCCGCAUCAGCUAGUUGGUGGGGUAAUGGCCUACCAAGGCAAAGACGCCGUAGCUGGUCUGAGAGGAUGAUCAGCCACACUGGGACUGAGACACGGCCCAGACUCCUAC